Gallus gallus (chicken) is the source of this 1497-nucleotide long non-coding RNA. RefSeq lists it as uncharacterized. NCBI's taxonomy places the organism in Eukaryota, Metazoa, Chordata, Aves, Galliformes, Phasianidae. The record is from RefSeq and is a predicted model, not a curated record. The transcript is spliced from 3 exons.
GGGCAUGGUCUGUGAGGGGCAGAGAGACUCUGGAAAGCGUCCUGGGAUUGCUUCUGUGCGGCAGUUGGGGGCCUUGGGGAGUGGGGGGCCUGUGCUGGUCUGUCUGUAGGAGUCUGUAAGGAGGGCUGUGGGGCUGGUUCUGAGGUGGAAGUGAGGGGUUUUGUGUGCUGAGGGACUGUCUGUGAGGAGGGUUCUGGGGUGGUUUCUGAGGAGAAGGUUUUGGAUCUGCGGGGCUGAGGGUCCUGUGAGUGACUGUAGACCUCUGUGGGGAGAGUUCUGGUGUGGCUUCUGAGGGUUAAAGCAUUGGGUUUGGGGGCUGAGAGGUUGUAGGGGUGUGUGAGCGAGGAGAGACUUUGGGACUCUGGGGCACUGAGGGGCCCGAUCUGAUCCCAGGGGCAUAAGGAGUUUGAUUUCCCCUGUGUUUUUCCCCCAGACCCAUUUGUUCAACCAAUGAAAAUCGAAAUAUACAAGAUGUUUCUGAACCUGGCAAAGUGUCCUUCACAGCACUGAUGUGUUGGACUGCUGGGAUGCUGGCUCUUGCUUUUUUUUUACCGUGGUUUCAGUGAUGGAGUAUGCCACUGCAGCGGAUGGCCCCAGAAGGAAAAAGACCGCAUAAUGAGAUGAAGAAAUCACCAGUUGGCAGUUGGUGUUCCUGCUUCAGCCUGGGAAAUCCAUCCUCUGUGGCUAAAGGCAAACUGCAACGCAAUCCCAGGGAGCCCCUACAAGAAGUCUCAGAAUAUUUCUAACACUCUCAUUAUGGAGGUGAAUCUAAGCAGUUUUGAUCCAGAAGACCCGGGACCAGCAGCGAUGCACUGUGUGCUUCCUUCGAUGGAGAGCUCUUAGGAAGCAUGAAUCGCUGCAGUUCUGAUGACAGCCUUCCACAUGACAACAACAAUGGGGAUAAGGAGCUCAUCCACGUUCCUGCCCUCAUUUCUCCUGGCUCCGCUGAUGAUGUUGACCUGAGCCCGCCAGACAUCACAGUCGCUAGCCUGGAUUGUGACCCAAUGCCUUUCCAGUGCAGCCCACCCCAAGCAGAGCCCAAGUGCCUGAACAGCAGCACCUCCUUGAGGAGCAGGUCGGCAUCGCUGAGGAGAAGCCGAGCUUCUUGGAGGCGGACUUAGAGCCAGGCAGCCAGUCCCAGGCACCAGGCAGCAGCACAAGCUCUGAACUAGUCUCUCAAUUCCCAGAGGAGUCCCUCUUUUACUCUGGAUCUCUCUUGCCCUUCUGUCUUUUAAUGAGUAAAGGCAUACUCAUGUUCAAUCAACACCUUGACUCCGUUCUGGGUCUUCAUUCACAGGGACUGGGUUCAAUAUAAAAAACUGCAAGGCACUUCAGCUUGCAAUGGUAUGGCUUUUGGCUGUGUGCUGCAGAGCUCUGGCUUUGUUCCCACGUUGUAUGGCUUUGGGGUGUCUGCAGGGAGAGAUCUGCUACUGUUUUGUAUGGUAGCAAAUAGCAUCCUGGUUGCUGCUCAUUAAAAUCCCCAGCUUCCUGGCUGCA